Sus scrofa (pig) is the source of this 6174-nucleotide non-coding RNA. The record is from RefSeq and is a predicted model, not a curated record. NCBI's taxonomy places the organism in Eukaryota, Metazoa, Chordata, Mammalia, Artiodactyla, Suidae.
CCAGAGAAAGCCAAGGGGUAAGGAAAAGAAGAAAAAAAAAAAAAAAGGGCCAGGAGGGGCGGCUCACUCCGCCGGGGAGCGAGCGGGCCCCCGCACAUGCGCACCGGGGUGGAAGAGCCCACAUGCGCCGCAUAAUAGGAACGGCCCCUCCCCCACCCAGAAGCACGCCAGGCUCCCGACCACUCCAGCAGCCCUCGGCGCCUCAGUUUCCCGCUCCGAGCCUGCGAGUCGGCUCUAGGGACGUCCGUGGGGCCCGGCCACCAGAGGAGCCACGCCGACUCGGCUCCUUACUCGACUCCUGCAUGGGCGAUAUCGUCUGGCCCCCAACCCAAGAACCCACCGCCCCAUUCCCCAAGUGAAGGCCCCGGAGCCUUCCCCAACUACUCCAACCUAUUUCCUCAAGGCCGCAAGCCCCUGGCCGCCUCACCGCGGGUCCUCGAACUCAACGAAGGCGAAGGGCGGUCCUCCGCGGCGAUUCUUCAGGUCGAUGUCGCGGAUAGCACCGUAUUUGUAGAACACGUCCUCAAUGUCCUUGGUUCGGAUGUCUGGAGGUAAGUUACCCACGUAGAUGCGGCAAUCGUUGUUCCCUGCCGGGCCACGGAUCACACCACCUCCCGACAUGGCGGCGACGAAAAGCGCGGACUCGAGAACAGGCCUUCCCACCAAGCCUAGCGAGCGGGAGAGCGAGCCCGCAGCGACACCACGUCUCCCGCGGCCCCUCCAAAAUGGCGCCUUUAUCAGCUCGGCGCACGGAUAUGGGGGGGAGGGAGGAAGAGAAGCGGGAGGAAGCAGCUAUUCGAUCUCACUACGCACGCGCAAGAGCGUAACGGGUGCUGCGAGAGUGACGCUCGCGCAAGCGCGACGUCACCCUCCGCGCGAAGGGAAAAAAGUUCCCGCCUUCCCGAUUUGUCGAGGGGUUUAAUAAGGGAGUGACCAGCCUUGUGGCAAAAUUAAAUAUAGAGCUCUCGUAAAAGGGGUUAUUAAUCUCUGUCGAAUCCUAAAGAAUCAGCAGUUUCCUCAGGAAUGUUUCUCUCAAAAAAACGGCGUCUUGAAAGUAUUUGGUGAAACCUAGCCUAAAGCUAGGUCCCACCAUGCUCUGCGCUGUUAACGGCCUUUGGCGGGAAAGACUGCCGGGGGCGGAGUCAAAGGGGGAGGGACCAGGCGGUUGCUCCGGAAACACGGGCAUCCUUGGAGAGUGCACCUCGUUCAGGAGUCGCGUUGCGGGUGAAUCAACGCGGAGCCGAGACGUGACUUUGUCUUCCCGCCCCAUCUGCGAACGGGCCGUGGACUGCUUGGACGACUGUCUAAUGCAGGGGAACCUGGCUGAGACGCUUUAAUAAAUAUUCUACGCUAAGUACCGUUCCACCUUCGGUUCAGAACUGACCUCAGUUCAACGCUCCUUGUGCUCGUGGCGGUAAUUCCUGGCGGCAUCAGCCAACCAGGACCCAGACCUCUGCUUCUUUUUUAAAUCACCUAUCGCCAGGGCCCAGCGCAGCGGAGAGGUCCAGUGAAGGUUUGCAGAAUGAAUUGUGUCUGUUAUUUCUACAACGUCUUUCAAAGAACGAAAAAGACGCGCGCCCUCCUGUUUGUAUUGCAGAAUCCUGACGUUCCUUCCUUUUUUGGAACUCAUUAGCAAAUCUCUCAGGUAAUAUGAAUGAGCAAAGUGGAUGUGUGAGGAUUUCUGUGACCACUGGAGACCGAAGUGGCGGCUUAAGGACUCAUCUCGCCAGCAUGUUGGUCCAGGGAGAUAAGAACUUGUUACAUUUUGCCACGGAGCCAUCUGAAAUCUGGAUUUUUAUAUGAAAUACUGGGAUUUUAAAAUAUUAAUGGUGAAUUCAAAUUAAAAAAAAAACCCUGUCAUAAAUAUGCUGAAACAGGUCUGCACCCUGAUUGAGAGGAUGAUUUUCUUCAUUUUUAUUUAUUCGCAUCAAUCCCUCUCCCCAGUGAUGUGAUGCUGUUUACAGAGAUACCAGAAAACGUUAUUGCAAUUGAAUGGAGAAAUCACGGAGAAUAUAAGGGGAAAUUAAAAUGAAGUCAUGGAUAAAGUUAAUACACAAAAUGGCUGCAGUAAAAAUUUGUGAGUUCUAAAGAUGGAUUACAAAUUUGACCCUAGUCAUCAUGGCAGUCACAGUAAAGAAGGAAACAGUAUAUUCAAGAUCCAAAGUGCCUUAAAAAGAUUUUUCAGAAGGUCAUGUUUUCAGUUCUAAAAGGCGAUUGCAUGUAUUUUAACAGUGUUCUCAGUAAUCCCAAAAUGCAAAUUUAAUUUGCUGCUCAACAGAUUCACAGAAGAUCUUUAGUAGUAGUCCUUGAAAUCUGAUGGUUUUCAAAACUGGGUAUCGCACAGUUUUUUUGUCUUUUAGAUCAUCCUCCAAUGAUAGAUAUUUUUUUUCUUCCUGCGGCAUGUGGAAGAUUCCAGGCUAGGGUUAAAAUCAGAGCUGCAGCUGCCAGCCUACACCACAGCCACAGCAAUGCAGGAUCUGAGCUGCAUCUGUGACCUAUGCCACAGCUUGCGGCAACGCUGGGUCCUUAACCCACUGAGCAAGGUUGGGGAUCGAACUCGCCUCCUCAUGGAUACUAGUCGGAUUCUUUUUUUUUUUUUUUUUUUUUUGUCUUUUUGCUGUUUCUUGGGCCGCUCCCACAGCGUAUGGAGGUUCCCAGGCUAGGGGUCGAAUCGGAGCUGUAGCCACUGGCCUAUGCCAGAGCCACAGCAACUCGGGAUCCGAGCCGCGUCUGCAACCUACACCACAGCUCACGGCAACGCCGGAUCCUUAACCCACUGAGCAAGGGCAGCUACCGAACCCGCAACCUCAUAGUUCCUAGUCGGAUUCGUUAACCACUGUGCCACGACAGGAACUCCCAAGUCGGAUUCUUAACCUGCUGAGCUACAACAGGAACUCCUCAAUGAUAUAUUUUUAAACCAAACUUUCAAUUUAAAAGAAGACACUGAUAAUUUUUAAAAUGAGAAGCUGACUAAAAGGGACACUAUUUCAACAAAUUUAUUUAGUCCUAUUUGGUUAGUAGCAGAAGAGAUGAGAGGUUUUUUUUUUUUUAAUUGCAGGUGUACAAUGUGUUGGUUCUUACAUUCAGUAGGUUUACUGAGCACAGUUUCUUUCUGUUCUAACUUUCUCCAUUCACUUGUUGUUAUUCAGAUUUGUCUUCUGUUGAUUAAUAUUAAGUUGAUAAACCAAAGUAGUUUAAACAUAAGUGCUUAUAAUUUCAAGGCAUCUUCAUUCCAGAAAAAUAAGAAAACUAUGAAUUUGCUUCGAUUUAUUCUUGUCCAAUUUAAUGCAGCCAUUUCUGAUUUUGUUCAGGUAUGCGGGUAGAAUUUAGUAUACAGUGAAUAGGACAUUCUUAUUUCUCUAUCAGCUUCUCUUAUUUUAUUUGAAUGUCACCAAAUUAUAGGUUCUAGGGUCUAUGACAAGGUCAGGAGCUAGCAGGAAAAGUCUGGGCGGCUGUUUAUCAGAUCUCCUAGGAUGACAUUAGCUGAAAAUGAUUACAUUUAAGGGUGUGAUCUUCUACUGUCAGUGUCCCAGACUGGCAUGUUUUGGUCCACAAGAGUAAAAAGCAAGACAACAAAUAUCCAAACCAUUUGUUCAUUUGUUUGGGGCUGGGGGCGGGGUGAGGCAGUUCUUUUUCUUUUUCUUUUUUUUUUUUUUGUCUUUUUUGGGGCUGGUUCCCAGGCUAGGAGUCUCGUUGGAGCUGUUGCCCCUGGCCUAUGCCAGAGUCACAGCAGCGCCAGAUCCGAGCUGUGUCUGGGACCUAUACCACAGCUUAAGGCAACGCUGGACCCGUAACCCACUGAGUGAGGCCAGGGAUCCAACCCGCAACCUCAUGGUUCUUAGUCGGAUUCAUUUCCACUGCCCCAUGAUAGGAACUCCUAGGCAAUUCAUUUUUGAUAACCAGGAUAUUCAGAUUGUACCUACCAAGAAAACUUUUGGCAGGUCUAGAAAGCAAAUCAGGCAGUUUCUUAGUAAAUGAGGAAUCAAAAGAAAAGGAAGUGAAUUGUUUUGAGAGAGAGUUGAUUCAGGUCUUGGUGAGACCUGAUAAAUGAUCCCUGCCCCUCAACAGGAUCACACCCUCUGGAUUUUGUCUCUCUGUUCCCUGAAUAAUACUGGGUCAAGAUUGGCAAUUCCCUUUCUGUAGUCUUAUCUUCUUUCUCUAAACAGUUGCUAGACAGUUGAAUUGAUUUCUGCUAACCUGAUUGUAACCACUUCGGUUUUGGCUCCUGAGAUUAUAUCCUCAUCUUAAUUGGAGCCUUGGAGUGUUUCUAAACUUCUCAGUUACACAUCCACAGACAGUUUUAUAGAUUGCUCCCACAACCAGCUAAUUUAUUAAGUAUGGAUUUUACCCUUUUAGUUCUCAGAAGCUGCCUUAUUUUCAACACUUUAUGUAAAUUACUUCCUCAAAAGAAACUUUUUAAACGCUUUCGAUUCAAUCCAGUAAGUAUAAAGUGUCAGCACUGUAUUUUGCCUUGAGGAUAAAAAAGGAAAGAAGGAAAUUCAGAGUUAGUUACUGUAAGAGUUGAAGUCGCAAGACCCAAUUUUUCAGUGAUUUUCCAAACACUUAAAACUCUAUACCUCUUAGAAUGAUGUGAUAAGAUAGUUGCACAGCUCUGUAAGUAUACUAAAAAUCGUUGAAUUGUACAGUUGAAGGGAGUGAAUUAUAUGUAAAUUAUAACUCUACAAAUUUUUUUAAGCGACUUGGGGAAAAAAUAUUUCCAACAAUCAGCAGAAUCACGCUUUCCAUUCUUCUAAAGGCAUUGUUGGGGGUGAGCGGUGCUGUAGAGUAAUUUGCACUGAAACAUGGCUUCCCUAAUUUGGAAAUUCUGUUUUCCAUAUUCAUGUGUCAACCUCUCCUGUCCCUUCUGGAGAUGACUGUUACUUUUACUAGGUGGACACAAAGAUUAGGACUCUUGAUUCCACUGUGUGUAGGAAUCACCUCCAGGAACUGUUCACUUGUGUAAUUCUCUAUUCUCUUGUUCCACUUGUUUUAAUGACUAAUACUCUCUGAAGACAAAAGGAAAUAACAUGGUAUGUUAUCUUUUUGUUUCAUUUAUAUUUGUCUCAUCUUCCAUAGUAAACUAUGUUGAGGACAGGUUUCUAUUGUAACUCCCUUUAUUACCAGUAAAUUUUUUGUUAAAAUGAGUGUUAUUAACUAUUUACUGACUGCUCUUUGAGAAAGAUGGGGCACAGAAUGUUUCUAUGGAAACUGCAUCAUGUUUCUGUCAGUGAAUAGACACAAUGGGUGUUUCACAUUUCCUGGCCACAUGAUGGCCACUUUUCAGGCCCAAAUAAAUUAUCUAGUAAUAUAGGCUUGGAAAUCUUAUUUUGGGACUGGCCUCCCUCAUUCUUUGAUAAUUCUUGUUUUGUUUUUGGCUGAUUCUUCCCAUCUUUAUUAUCCUAUUAUGGAUAACAGUAGUAUAUGAUAUUACCAGAAACAACUCUUAGAAUGGUGUAUUCCAAAGAGUUAUAUUUUCAGAGUUCCCAUCAUGGUGUGGUGGAAACAAAUCCGACUAGGAACCAUGAGGUUGCGGGUUCAAUCCCUGGCCUUGCUCAGUGGGUUAAGGAUCUGGCAUUGCCAGGAGCUGUGGUGUAGGUAGCAGAUGUGGCUCGGUUCUUGCAUUGCGGUGGCUGCGGCGUAGGCCGGCAGCUAUAGCUCUGAUUUGACCUCUAGCCUGGGAACCUCCAUGUGCUGAGGGAGUGGCUCUAAAAAAAAAAAAAACACAAAAAAACCCCAAAGAGUUAUAUUUUCACCAUGUCUCUCUCUCCUAUUAAUAUUAUUCCUCUCUUCCUCUUCCUGCUUAAUUCCUUCUCUUCAAAAUUAAAACUUCGGGAGUUCCCUGGUGGUACAAUGGGUUAGGAUCUGGGAUUGUCACUGCUGUGGCUUGGGUCACUAUAGCUCCAGUCACUUCUGUGUCAUGGGUUUGAGCCCUGGCCCUGGAACUUCUACAUGCCAUGGGUGCAACCAAAAAAAACCUCAAACUCUAGUUCAUCAUUAUUGUACCUUUCCUAAUUGGGAUAGAUGGCUGUUUAAAGAAUUAUUAUUAAUAUUGCAGAUACGCUUUAUUUGCCAAAAAUUCUACCUUUUUUAGCAAUUUAAUCUAUGUAAUAGUGGUAUUAUAUGUUAAUACUAGUGACAAAUAUGUUAUAAAUAUAUAUUUUUUUGAAGUUUUCA